Molecule: small nucleolar RNA, 87 nt
Organism: Pongo abelii (Sumatran orangutan)
Lineage: Eukaryota; Metazoa; Chordata; Mammalia; Primates; Hominidae
Gene: U3
Rfam family: Small nucleolar RNA U3
About the family: Small nucleolar RNAs (snoRNAs) are involved in the processing and modification of rRNA in the nucleolus. There are two main classes of snoRNAs: the box C/D class, and the box H/ACA class. U3 snoRNA is a member of the box C/D class.
Source: Ensembl
CACCAGCGUGAAGCUGGCUCUUGGUGCUCCUUCACUGAAAAUGCCAUUUGCCAUUGAUGAUCGCUCUUCCCUUCCUCUGGGAGGAUG